Molecule: transfer RNA, 70 nt
Filed under: Myrichthys maculosus (tiger snake eel)
Lineage: Eukaryota; Metazoa; Chordata; Actinopteri; Anguilliformes; Ophichthidae
Description: tRNA-Ser (AGY)
Source: RNAcentral
GAGGGAGUAAGACUUAAUCUGAGAGACUGCUAACCUCUCAAAUCCACAGUUAAAGCCUGUGGCUCACUCA